This 483-nucleotide ribosomal RNA is filed under the name uncultured bacterium. Its description in RNAcentral is "bacterial SSU rRNA". It matches the Rfam family "Bacterial small subunit ribosomal RNA", at positions 501 to 985 of the family's 1533-position model. The record is from RNAcentral.
CUACGUGCCAGCAGCCGCGGUAAUACGGAGGGUGCGAGCGUUAAUCGGAAUAACUGGGCGUAAAGGGCACGCAGGCGGUGACUUAAGUGAGGUGUGAAAGCCCCGGGCUUAACCUGGGAAUUGCAUUUCAUACUGGGUCGCUAGAGUACUUUAGGGAGGGGUAGAAUUCCACGUGUAGCGGUGAAAUGCGUAGAGAUGUGGAGGAAUACCGAAGGCGAAGGCAGCCCCUUGGGAAUGUACUGACGCUCAUGUGCGAAAGCGUGGGGAGCAAACAGGAUUAGAUACCCUGGUAGUCCACGCUGUAAACGAUGUCGAUUUGGGGGUUGAACUUUGAGUUUGGCGCCCGUAGCUAACGUGAUAAAUCGACCGCCUGGGGAGUACGGCCGCAAGGUUAAAACUCAAAUGAAUUGACGGGGGCCCGCACAAGCGGUGGAGCAUGUGGUUUAAUUCGAUGCAACGCGAAGAACCUUACCUACUCUUGAC